CCUGACUGCUAUCGGAUUGAUACUAAGCCAUGCGAGUCUUUGUAGUAAUACAAGGCAGACGGCUCAGUAACACGUAGUCAACCUACCCUAUGGACGGGAAUAAUCUCGGGAAACUGAGCAUAAUACCCGGCGUACCACCAUUCCUGGAAUGGUUGGUGGUUAAAAUGAUUCGUCGCCGUAGGAUGGGACUGCGACCUAUCAGCCUGUUGGUGAGGUAAAGGCCCACCAAGGCGAUUACAGGUACGGGCUCUGAGAGGAGAAGCCCGGAGAUGGGUACUGAGACACGGACCCAGGCCCUAUGGGGCGCAGCAGGCGAGAAAACUUUGCAAUGUGCGAAAGCACGACAAGGUUAAUCCGAGUGAUUUCUGCUAAAGGAAUCUUUUGCCAGUUCUAAAAAUACUAGUGAAUAAGGGGUGGGCAAGUUCUGGUGUCAGCCGCCGCGGUAAAACCAGCACCUCAAGUGGUCAGGAGGAUUAUUGGGCCUAAAGCAUCCGUAGCCUGCUCUGUAAGUUUUCGGUUAAAUCUAUAUGCUCAACGUAUAGGCUGCCGAAAAUACUGCAGUGCUAGGAAGUGGGAGAGGUAGACGGUACUUGAUAGGAAGGGGUAAAAUCCUUUGAUCUAUCGAUGACCACCUGUGGCGAAGGCGGUCUACCAGAACACGUUCGACGGUGAGGGAUGAAAGCUGGGGGAGCAAACCGGAUUAGAUACCCGGGUAGUCCCAGCUGUAAACGAUGCAGACUAGAUGAUGUAUUGGCAUAUAGCCAGUGCAGUGUCUCAGGGAAGCCGUUAAGUCUGCCGCCUGGGAAGUACGUACGCAAGUAUGAAACUUAAAGGAAUUGGCGGGGGAGCACCACAAGGGUGAAGCCUGCGGUUC
This 874-nucleotide ribosomal RNA is filed under the name uncultured archaeon. Its description in RNAcentral is "bacterial SSU rRNA". It matches the Rfam family "Archaeal small subunit ribosomal RNA", at positions 21 to 903 of the family's 1478-position model. The record is from RNAcentral.